AUACGUAGGUGGCAAGCGUUGUCCGGAAUUAUUGGGCGUAAAGCGCGCGCAGGUGGUUCCUUAAGUCUGAUGUGAAAGCCCCCGGCUCAACCGGGGAGGGUCAUUGGAAACUGGGGAACUUGAGUGCAGAAGAGGAUAGUGGAAUUCCAAGUGUAGCGGUGAAAUGCGUAGAGAUUUGGAGGAACACCAGUGGCGAAGGCGACUGUCUGGUCUGUAACUGACACUGAGGCUCGAAAGCGUGGGGAGCAAACAGGAUUAGAUACCCUGGUAGUCCACGCCGUAAACGAUGAGUGCUAAGUGUUGGGGGGUUUCCGCCCCUCAGUGCUGCAGCUAACGCAUUAAGCACUCCGCCUGGGGAGUACGGUCGCAAGACUGAAACUCAAAGGAAUUGACGGGG
RNAcentral lists this ribosomal RNA (397 nucleotides) under uncultured bacterium. RNAcentral describes it as "partial 16S ribosomal RNA". It matches the Rfam family "Bacterial small subunit ribosomal RNA", at positions 523 to 918 of the family's 1533-position model. The record is from RNAcentral.